ACAACCACGAGUUGGUUAGGUCAAGAAGUCAGCAGAAGUCAUAGUACUUAUAGCAACGAGUUGCAAAUAGAAACUGCAUAGGUCUCACAAUCAAGGAAGGAC
Flavobacterium segetis is the source of this 102-nucleotide non-coding RNA. Lineage: Bacteria; Pseudomonadati; Bacteroidota; Flavobacteriia; Flavobacteriales; Flavobacteriaceae. The record is from Rfam.